UACGUAGGGUGCGAGCGUUGUCCGGAAUUAUUGGGCGUAAAGAGCGUGUAGGCGGUUAGGUAGGUCCGUUGUGAAAACUCGAGGCUCAACCUCGAGACGCCGAUGGAAACCAUCUGACUAGAGUCCGGAAGAGGAGAGUGGAAUUCCUGGUGUAGCGGUGAAAUGCGCAGAUAUCAGGAAGAACACCCGUGGCUAAGGCGGCUCUCUGGGACGGUACUGACGCUGAGACGCGAAAGCGUGGGGAGCGAACAGG
RNAcentral lists this ribosomal RNA (253 nucleotides) under uncultured bacterium. RNAcentral describes it as "partial 16S ribosomal RNA". It matches the Rfam family "Bacterial small subunit ribosomal RNA", at positions 524 to 776 of the family's 1533-position model. The record is from RNAcentral.